This 31-nucleotide non-coding RNA is filed under the name Mus musculus (house mouse). Lineage: Eukaryota; Metazoa; Chordata; Mammalia; Rodentia; Muridae. The record is from RNAcentral.
UGCUCUGUGUCUUAAUUUGAUCCACCCACGC